This 2051-nucleotide ribosomal RNA is filed under the name Streptococcus agalactiae. RNAcentral's name for it is "bacterial LSU rRNA". It matches the Rfam family "Bacterial large subunit ribosomal RNA", at positions 14 to 2087 of the family's 2925-position model. The record is from RNAcentral. Lineage: Bacteria; Bacillati; Bacillota; Bacilli; Lactobacillales; Streptococcaceae.
AGGGCGCACGGUGGAUGCCUUGGCACUAGAAGCCGAAGAAGGACGUGACUAACGACGAAAUGCUUUGGGGAGCUGUAAGUAAGCGCUGAUCCAGAGAUGUCCGAAUGGGGGAACCCACUAGUUAAUGACUAGUAUCCAUAUCUGUUAAGGAUAUGAGAAGGAAGACGCAGUGAACUGAAACAUCUAAGUAGCUGCAGGAAGAGAAAGCAAAAGCGAUUGCCUUAGUAGCGGCGAGCGAAACGGCAGGAGGGCAAACCGAAGUGUUUACACUUCGGGGUUGUAGGACUGCGAUAUAGGAUUAAUCAUUAUAGAAGAAUUACCUGGGAAGGUAAGCCAAAGAGAGUAACAGCCUCGUAUUUAAAAUGAUAGAUUAACCUUAGCAGUAUCCUGAGUACGGCGAGACACGCGAAAUCUCGUCGGAAUCUGGGAGGACCAUCUCCCAACCCUAAAUACUCUCUAGUGACCGAUAGUGAACCAGUACCGUGAGGGAAAGGUGAAAAGCACCCCGGGAGGGGAGUGAAAUAGAACCUGAAACCGUGUGCCUACAACAAGUUCGAGCCCGUUAAUGGGUGAGAGCGUGCCUUUUGUAGAAUGAACCGGCGAGUUACGAUAUGAUGCGAGGUUAAGUUGAAGAGACGGAGCCGUAGGGAAACCGAGUCUUAAUAGGGCGCCAUAGUAUCAUGUUGUAGACCCGAAACCAUGUGACCUACCCAUGAGCAGGUUGAAGGUGAGGUAAAACUCACUGGAGGACCGAACCAGGGCACGUUGAAAAGUGCUUGGAUGACUUGUGGGUAGCGGAGAAAUUCCAAACGAACUUGGAGAUAGCUGGUUCUCUCCGAAAUAGCUUUAGGGCUAGCGUCGAUGUUAAGUCUCUUGGAGGUAGAGCACUGUUUGGGUGAGGGGUCCAUCCCGGAUUACCAAUCUCAGAUAAACUCCGAAUGCCAACGAGAUAUAAUCGGCAGUCAGACUGCGAGUGCUAAGAUCCGUAGUCGAAAGGGAAACAGCCCAGACCACCAGCUAAGGUCCCAAAAUAUAUGUUAAGUGGAAAAGGAUGUGGGGUUGCACAGACAACUAGGAUGUUAGCUUAGAAGCAGCUAUUCAUUCAAAGAGUGCGUAAUAGCUCACUAGUCGAGUGACCCUGCGCCGAAAAUGUACCGGGGCUAAAACAUAUUACCGAAGCUGUGGAUGACACAAAAGUGUCAUGGUAGGAGAGCGUUCUAUGUGUGAAGAAGGUGUACCGUGAGGAGCGCUGGAACGCAUAGAAGUGAGAAUGCCGGUAUGAGUAGCGCAAGACAGGUGAGAAUCCUGUCCACCGUAAGACUAAGGUUUCCAGGGGAAGGCUCGUCCGCCCUGGGUUAGUCGGGACCUAAGGAGAGACCGAAAGGUGUAUCCGAUGGACAACAGGUUGAUAUUCCUGUACUAGAGUAUAUAGUGAUGGAGGGACGCAGUAGGCUAACUAAACCAGACGAUUGGAAGUGUCUGGUCAAACAGUGAGGUGUGAUAUGAGUCAAAUGCUUAUAUCUUUAACAUUGAGCUGUGACGAGGAGCGAAGUUUAGUAGCGAAGUUAGUGAUGUCACACUGCCAAGAAAAGCUUCUAGCGAUACAUAUACUCUACCCGUACCGCAAACCGACACAGGUAGUCGAGGCGAGUAGCCUCAGGUGAGCGAGAGAACUCUCGUUAAGGAACUCGGCAAAAUGGCCCCGUAACUUCGGGAGAAGGGGCGCUGAUUUUAGAUCAGCCGCAGUGAAUAGGCCCAAGCAACUGUUUAUCAAAAACACAGCUCUCUGCUAAAUCGUAAGAUGAUGUAUAGGGGGUGACGCCUGCCCGGUGCUGGAAGGUUAAGAGGAGUGCUUAGCGUAAGCGAAGGUAUGAAUUGAAGCCCCAGUAAACGGCGGCCGUAACUAUAACGGUCCUAAGGUAGCGAAAUUCCUUGUCGGGUAAGUUCCGACCCGCACGAAAGGCGUAAUGAUUUGGGCACUGUCUCAACGAGAGACUCGGUGAAAUUUUAGUACCUGUGAAGAUGCAGGUUACCCGCGACAGGACGGAAAG